Molecule: ribosomal RNA, 1287 nt
Filed under: metagenome
Description: bacterial SSU rRNA
Rfam family: Bacterial small subunit ribosomal RNA
Source: RNAcentral
UAGCUAGUUGGUGAGGUAAAGGCUUACCAAGGCGACGAUCUGUAGCGGGUCUGAGAGGAUGAUCCGCCACACUGGAACUGAGACACGGUCCAGACUCCUACGGGAGGCAGCAGUGGGGAAUUUUGGACAAUGGGGGCAACCCUGAUCCAGCCAUGCCGCGUGAGUGAAGAAGGCCUUCGGGUUGUAAAGCUCUUUCGGCCGGGAAGAAAUCGCAUGGGCCAAUACCCUGUGUGGAUGACGGUACCGGAAUAAGAAGCACCGGCUAACUACGUGCCAGCAGCCGCGGUAAUACGUAGGGUGCGAGCGUUAAUCGGAAUUACUGGGCGUAAAGCGUGCGCAGGCGGUUUUGUAAGACAGGCGUGAAAUCCCCGGGCUUAACCUGGGAACUGCGUUUGUGACUGCAAGGCUAGAGUACGGCAGAGGGGGGUGGAAUUCCACGUGUAGCAGUGAAAUGCGUAGAGAUGUGGAGGAACACCAAUGGCGAAGGCAGCCCCCUGGGUCGAUACUGACGCUCAUGCACGAAAGCGUGGGUAGCAAACAGGAUUAGAUACCCUGGUAGUCCACGCCCUAAACUAUGUCAACUAGGUGUUGGGUGGGUAAAACCAUUUAGUACCGUAGCUAACGCGUGAAGUUGACCGCCCGGGGAGUACGGCCGCAAGGUUAAAACUCAAAGGAAUUGACGGGGACCCGCACAAGCGGUGGAUGAUGUGGAUUAAUUCGAUGCAACGCGAAAAACCUUACCUACCCUUGACAUGCCAGGAACUUGCCAGAGAUGGCUUGGUGCCCGAAAGGGAGCCUGUACACAGGUGCUGCAUGGCUGUCGUCAGCUCGUGUCGUGAGAUGUUGGGUUAAGUCCCGCAACGAGCGCAACCCUUGUCGUUAAUUGCCAUCAUUUAGUUGGGCACUUUAACGAGACUGCCGGUGACAAACCGGAGGAAGGUGGGGAUGACGUCAAGUCCUCAUGGCCCUUAUGGGUAGGGCUUCACACGUCAUACAAUGGUCGGUACAAAGGGUUGCCAAGCCGCGAGGCGGAGCCAAUCCCAGAAAGCCGAUCGUAGUCCGGAUUGCAGGCUGCAACUCGCCUGCAUGAAGUCGGAAUCGCUAGUAAUCGUGGAUCAGCAUGUCACGGUGAAUACGUUCCCGGGUCUUGUACACACCGCCCGUCACACCAUGGGAGCGGGUUCCGCCAGAAGUAGGUAGCCUAACCGCAAGGGGGGCGCUUACCACGGCGGGGUUCGUGACUGGGGUGAAGUCGUAACAAGGUAGCCGUAGGGGAACCUGCGGCUG